RNAcentral lists this ribosomal RNA (21 nucleotides) under Leptidea juvernica. RNAcentral's name for it is "partial 28S ribosomal RNA". The record is from RNAcentral. Lineage: Eukaryota; Metazoa; Arthropoda; Insecta; Lepidoptera; Pieridae.
UCUGCCUCANACUUUUUAUCG